RNAcentral lists this ribosomal RNA (999 nucleotides) under Buchnera aphidicola (Prociphilus erigeronensis). RNAcentral describes it as "bacterial SSU rRNA". It matches the Rfam family "Bacterial small subunit ribosomal RNA", at positions 328 to 1320 of the family's 1533-position model. Lineage: Bacteria; Pseudomonadati; Pseudomonadota; Gammaproteobacteria; Enterobacterales; Erwiniaceae. The record is from RNAcentral.
AGUCCAGACUCCUACGGGAGGCAGCAGUGGGGAAUAUUGCACAAUGGGCGAAAGCCUGAUGCAGCUAUACCGCGUGUAUGAAGAAGGCCUUAGGGUUGUAAAGUACUUUCGUUGGGGAGGAAAAAUAAAUAGAUAAUACCUGUUUAUCGUGACGUUACCCAAAAAAGAAGCACCGGCUAACUCCGUGCCAGCAGCCGCGGUAAUACGGAGGGUGCAAGCGUUAAUCAGAAUUACUGGGCGUAAAGAGCUCGUAGGCGGUUUUUUAAGUCAGAUGUGAAAUCCCUGGGCUUAACCUAGGAACUGUAUUUGAAACUAAAAGACUAGAGUAUCGUAGAGGGAGGUAGAAUUCUAGGUGUAGCGGUGAAAUGCGUAGAUAUCUGGAGGAAUACCUGUGGCGAAAGCGGCCUCCUAAAUGAAUACUGACGCUGAGGUGCGAAAGCAUGGGGAGCAAACAGGAUUAGAUACCCUGGUAGUCCAUGCCGUAAACGAUGUCGACUUGGAGGUUGUUUCUUUGAGAAGUGACUUCCGAAGCUAACGCGUUAAGUCGACCGCCUGGGGAGUACGGUCGCAAGGCUAAAACUCAAAUGAAUUGACGGGGGCCCGCACAAGCGGUGGAGCAUGUGGUUUAAUUCGAUGCAACGCGAAAAACCUUACCUGGUCUUGACAUCCACAGAAUUUUUCAGAGAUGAAAAAGUGCCUUAGGGAACUGUGAGACAGGUGCUGCAUGGCUGUCGUCAGCUCGUGUUGUGAAAUGUUGGGUUAAGUCCCGCAACGAGCGCAACCCUUAUCCUCUGUUGCCAUUGGUUCGGCCAGGAACUCAGAGGAGACUGCCGGUUAUAAACCGGAGGAAGGCGGGGACGACGUCAAGUCAUCAUGGCCCUUACGACCAGGGCUACACACGUGCUACAAUGGUGUAUACAAAGAGAAGCAACUCUGCAAAGACAAGCAAACCUCAUAAAGUACAUCGUAGUCCGGACUGGAGUCUGCAACUCGACUCCC